Molecule: long non-coding RNA, 1033 nt
Filed under: Vigna radiata
Lineage: Eukaryota; Viridiplantae; Streptophyta; Magnoliopsida; Fabales; Fabaceae
Description: long non-coding RNA (VRAD_LNC016293)
Source: RNAcentral
GCUAGUCUUAGUUGUUUUCUGUGUGCUGAGUCUGUGUCACUUCCCUGAUGUCCUUUGAUCUGUUCCCUGUUUUUCGUCUUGGUUUUGCCCAGGAGUGCAAAAGACUAAGUGUGGUCUAUUUUGAUGAGUCGAUAUUUUCUUGACUUUACUUAGUUUAUUGUGCUAGAAUUAAUCAGGGAAUUGUGCUUAAUUUUCCGGUAUUUUCCCGUUUUUCCUAAAUAUGCUUAAUUUGACCGAAAAUUCUAAUUUUAAUUAAUUGGAAUUUUCUGAGCUAAUUAUUUGCAUUAUUAUUUUCAGGGAAAAUUUUGGAAACACAAUUUGGGACAUUUAGAGGACACCAAAUAAAUUCAAGACUCUCAAAUUAGACAUUUUAAAUUUUAGUUGUCUUGUAAUUUAAUUGUUUAAACUUUUUAGAUAAACUUUUGCACAUUGGGCCAUUGUUUAAAAAUCAUGAAAAGCCCAAUUUUGUAGGACACUUGGCACCUAGGGUUUCCUUUUAUUUUAGGGUGGACCCCACCCAUUUUUAUGAGGACACAUGGUCCUAGGGAUCACCAACAUUACAACCAGCCGUCAUUUUUUUGAUUUUCUGGAGAGCUUGGACUCGGCAGAUUGGAAGAGAGGAUUUUUAUCUUGAAGCAAUGUUGACCGUCAUGGAUUUUGGAUGACUUUGGAAGAAGGCACUUGCUGGAAUGGUGCAGGGGAUUCACUGCUGCAGCCACCUCUCAUUUUAGCAUUUCUUUUUGUUUAGUUUUUUUUUUUUAUUAUUAUUGGAAGCAGCAGCAUGCAUAGCUUGAAGCUAGAGUUGAUGGAACGUUGGCACCACUCUGAGUAGCAUUCACUUCUUUUAUAUCUUUGAUAAUAAAAUAUUUUGAUUUGCUAGAAAGAUACCAUUCGGUCACGGUGAAGGAUUUUUUUUUUAUAUUCAACAUUUUUUUUUAGAAGAUUGGAGGCAUUGAUUGAAGAUAGAGUAGUAGCGCUGCUGCAACCACCACCUAGGAAAGCACACUUUCAUUUUAUAUUUCAUUUAGUAAUA